RNAcentral lists this ribosomal RNA (293 nucleotides) under uncultured eukaryote. RNAcentral describes it as "partial 18S ribosomal RNA". It matches the Rfam family "Eukaryotic small subunit ribosomal RNA", at positions 6 to 298 of the family's 1831-position model. The record is from RNAcentral.
GGUUGAUCCUGCCAGUAGUCAUAUGCUUGUCUCAAAGAUUAAGCCAUGCAUGUCCAAGUAUAAGCUUUUAUACGGUGAAACUGCGAAUGGCUCAUUAAAACAGUUAUAGUUUAUUUGAUGGUCUCUUUUUACAUGGAUAACCAUGGUAAUUCUAUGGCUAAUACAUGCGCACUCGCCUCCUUCUCUGGAGGGGCUGUGUUUAUUAGAUACAAAACCAACCCACUUUGUGGAGUCAUGGUGAUUCAUAGUAACCGAACGGAUCGCAUUUGGCCUUUUGGCCCGCGAUGGAUCAU